GAUGAAGAACGUAGCGAAAUGCGAUAAGUAGUGUGAAUUGCAGAAUUCAGUGAAUCAUCGAAUCUUUGAACGCACAUUGCGGCCAUAGGUAUUCCUUUGGCCAUGCCUGUUCGAGCGUCAUUUACACCCUCAAGCCUAGCUUGGUGUUGGGCGUCUGUCCCGCCGUUCUCGCGCGCGGACUCGCCUCAAAGUCAUUGGCGGCGGUCGUGCCGGCCCCCUCGCGCAGCACAUUUGCGCUUCUCGGAGGCCCGGCGGAGCCGCGCUCCAGCAAGACCUUUCACGACUUGACCUCGGAUCAGGUAGGGAUACCCGCUGAACUUAAGCAUAUCAAUAAGCGGAGGA
RNAcentral lists this unclassified non-coding RNA (342 nucleotides) under soil metagenome. RNAcentral describes it as "partial contains 5.8S ribosomal RNA, internal transcribed spacer 2, and large subunit ribosomal RNA". The stretch from base 1 to 120 matches the Rfam family "5.8S ribosomal RNA", at positions 35 to 154 of the family's 154-position model. The record is from RNAcentral.